This 299-nucleotide ribosomal RNA is filed under the name uncultured bacterium. RNAcentral's name for it is "partial 16S ribosomal RNA". It matches the Rfam family "Bacterial small subunit ribosomal RNA", at positions 775 to 1067 of the family's 1533-position model. The record is from RNAcentral.
GGAUUAGAUACCCUGGUAGUCCACGCCGUAAACGUUGUGCACUAGACUGUUGCGGUUUUGACGCCGUAGCGGUCGUAGAGAAAUUAUUAAGUGCACCGCCUGGGGAGUACGGUCGCAAGGCUAAAACUCAAAGGAAUUGACGGGGGCUCACACAAGCGGUGGAGCAUGUUGCUUAAUUCGAAACAACGCGAAGAACCUUACCUGGGUUUGACAUGCACGGAUUAGUCCUGGGAAACCAGGGUGACGCCCUUUGGGUGGAACGUGCACAGGUGCUGCAUGGCUGUCGUCAGCUCGUGCCG